Molecule: long non-coding RNA, 580 nt
Organism: Aedes aegypti (yellow fever mosquito)
Lineage: Eukaryota; Metazoa; Arthropoda; Insecta; Diptera; Culicidae
Exons: 2
Source: RefSeq, a predicted model, not a curated record
UUGCCUCAAGACAGUUACUUAUGGUACUCGUUCAGCACCAUUCGCAGCAGCGAGAUGUCUGAAACAACUUGCGCUGGACUAUGCUCAUGUAUAUCCAAAAGCUGCCGAGGUACUCGAAACAGACUUUUAUAUGGAUAAUGCACUGACAGGACAUGAUGAUAAAGAACGGCUAUUGGAGAUCAAACAACAGCUUAUCAUCAUUUUAAGCAGCGCAGGCUUUGAGCUGCACAAAUGGACAUCUAACAUAGCCGACGACCAGAAUGAGGAUCAAGAGCCAGAUAUCACAAAGAUACUUGGGUUACGAUGGAAUCCGCGUACAGAUAUGUUUUCCUUUAGUAAUGAAAUCAUCAGCGGGAUAGCAGUCACAAAACGCAAUGUGUUAUCCGAAGUACAGAAGGUGUUCGAUCCUCUUGGUAGUCUUAGCCCAAUAAUCAUCCACGGAAAAAUCUUAAUGCAAGAUAUAUGGUCCGAAAAACUAGAUUGGGAUGAACCGCUACCACCCCUGUUAGCAGAUUAAUGGAACAGGUUCCUUGCCCAAAUGAACGAGCUCUCCAAAAUUAGCUUUCAACGCCACGUUAAG